AAUGAUUCCAUAAUGAAACUAUUUCUGUCAAGCAUAAAAUUUUGAAAAACUCCACAAAACAGUCAAGAAAUAUGCUGAAAAAAAGUACCAUAACUGCAAACAGAUCUACUUAGGAUUUCAAAUUGACUAAUAUUUCAUGGAUAACCCUAGACAAUGAUGUCAGGAAGAACUCAAAACAAACAAAAUAAAUCUAAUUCAUCCA
Molecule: unclassified non-coding RNA, 202 nt
Filed under: Hevea brasiliensis (rubber tree)
Lineage: Eukaryota; Viridiplantae; Streptophyta; Magnoliopsida; Malpighiales; Euphorbiaceae
Source: RNAcentral